GUGUCAGCAGCCGCGGUAAUACGUAGGGGCCUAGCGUUGUCCGGAUUUAUUGGGCGUAAAGAGCUCGUAGGCGGCUUGGUAAGUCAGGUGUGAAAUCUCCACGCUCAACGUGGAGGGGCCACCCGAAACUGCCAUGGCUUGAGUCCGGUAGGGGAGUGUGGAAUUCCCGGUGUAGCGGUGAAAUGCGCAGAUAUCGGGAGGAACACCCGUAGCGAAGGCGGCACUCUGGGCCGGUACUGACGCUGAGGAGCGAAAGCGUGGGGAGCAAACAGGAUUAGAAACCCCAGUAGUCC
Molecule: ribosomal RNA, 293 nt
Filed under: uncultured bacterium
Lineage: Bacteria
Description: partial 16S ribosomal RNA
Rfam family: Bacterial small subunit ribosomal RNA
Source: RNAcentral